This 552-nucleotide ribosomal RNA is filed under the name uncultured crenarchaeote. Its description in RNAcentral is "bacterial SSU rRNA". It matches the Rfam family "Archaeal small subunit ribosomal RNA", at positions 327 to 879 of the family's 1478-position model. The record is from RNAcentral. Lineage: Archaea; Thermoproteati; Thermoproteota.
GGGGUGCAGCAGGCGCGAAAACUCUGCAAUAAGCGAAAGCUUGACAGGGUUAUUCUGAGUGAUUUCCGCUAAGGAAAUCUUUUGGCACUUCUAAAAAUGGUGCAGAAUAAGGGGUGGGCAAGCCUGGUGUCAGCCGCCGCGGUAAUACCAGCACCCCGAGUGGUCGGGACGAUUAUUGGGCCUAAAGCAUCCGUAGCCGGUUCUACAAGUCUUCCGUUAAAUCCAUCUGCUUAACAGAUGGGCUGCGGAGGAUACUAUGGAGCUAGGAGGCGGGAGAGGCAAGCGGUACUUAGUGGGUAGGGGUAAAAUCCGUUGAUCCACUGAAGACCACCAGUGGCGAAGGCGGCUUGCCAGAACGCGCUCGACGGUGAGGGAUGAAAGCUGGGGGAGCAAACCGGAUUAGAUACCCGGGUAGUCCCAGCUGUAAACGAUGCAGACUCGGUGAUGAAUAGGCUUCGUGCCUUUUCAGUGCCGCAGGGAAGCCGUUAAGUCUGCCGCCUGGGGAGUACGGUCGCAAGGACUGAAACUUAAAGGAAAUUGGCGGGGGAGCAC